Molecule: ribosomal RNA, 492 nt
Filed under: uncultured bacterium
Lineage: Bacteria
Description: partial 16S ribosomal RNA
Rfam family: Bacterial small subunit ribosomal RNA
Source: RNAcentral
AGUGAACGCUGGCGGUAGGCCUAACACAUGCAAGUCGAACGGCAGCACAGUAAGAGCUUGCUCUUACGGGUGGCGAGUGGCGGACGGGUGAGGAAUACAUCGGAAUCUACUUUUUCGUGGGGGAUAACGUAGGGAAACUUACGCUAAUACCGCAUACGACCUACGGGUGAAAGCAGGGGAUCUUCUGACCUUGCGCGAUUGAAUGAGCCGAUGUCGGAUUAGCUAGUUGGCGGGGUAAAGGCCCACCAAGGCGACGAUCCGUAGCUGGUCUGAGAGGAUGAUCAGCCACACGGGAACUGAGACACGGACCAGACUCCUACGGGAGGGAGCAGUGGGGAAUGUUAGACAGUGGGCGCAAGCCUGAUCCAGCCAUACCGCGUGGGUGAAGAAGGCCUUCGGGUUGUAAAGCCCUUUUGUUGGGAAAGAAAAGCAGCAGGUUAAUACCCCGCUGUUCUGACGGUACCCAAAGAAUAAGCACCGGCUAACUUCGUG